AUAAACGCUUUGAUUAGGAGUAGUAAGGAUUUUCUGUUGUGUAGAGAGCUGCUGAUUUGGUGAAAGGCGGCCGAUAGAUUUCCCGAACUCGCCUAGGAGCGGUCAGAUUGAGAUGUAGAUCUGAACGGUUAACUCCCGUGAACGAGUCUUGAGAAGGUUUGUAUUUUUUAUAGCAAACUAAGAAGAGUGGUACCACGUUAGGAACAGCCUAUCGUCUCUUUC
This 222-nucleotide non-coding RNA is filed under the name Fictibacillus arsenicus. RNAcentral's name for it is "T-box sequence". It matches the Rfam family "T-box leader". From Rfam's summary of the family: Uncharged tRNA acts as the effector for transcription antitermination of genes in the T-box leader family. Lineage: Bacteria; Bacillati; Bacillota; Bacilli; Caryophanales; Fictibacillaceae. The record is from RNAcentral.